AGUGAACGCUGGCGGCGGGCCUAAUACAUGCAAGUCGAACGGACACACAGGGAGAUUUUGCUCCUACGGGUGGCGACUGGCGGAUGGGUGAGGCGUACAUAGGAUUCUUAUAAUUCGUGGAGGAUAUCGUGGAAACGGUUAUGAUAAUGCAUCAUAUGUCCAACGGGAUGAAUCAAGAGUUCAUGAGACUUUGUCCGUCUGUUUGAGAUGAAGCCGCAUUAGCUAGUUGGCAGGGUAAAGGCACACCAAGGCAACGAUCCGUAGCUGGUCUGAGAGGAUGAUCAGCCACACUGGAACUGAGACACGGUCCAAACUCCUACGGGAGGCAGCAGUGGGGAAUAUUAGACAAUGGGCGCAAGCCUGACCCAGCAAUGCCGCGUGAGUGAAGAAGGUCUUCGGAUCGUAAAGCUCUUUUAUUAGGAAAGAAAAGCUGCAUAAGAAUACCCCGCUGUUUUGACGGUACCCAAUGAAUAAGCCCCGGCUAACUACGUG
RNAcentral lists this ribosomal RNA (492 nucleotides) under uncultured bacterium. Its description in RNAcentral is "partial 16S ribosomal RNA". It matches the Rfam family "Bacterial small subunit ribosomal RNA", at positions 29 to 507 of the family's 1533-position model. The record is from RNAcentral.